RNAcentral lists this ribosomal RNA (104 nucleotides) under uncultured archaeon. RNAcentral describes it as "partial 16S ribosomal RNA". The record is from RNAcentral.
AACUUUNAUGCAGAAUUGUGAUUAGGUNAACCAGUGCUGUCUUCCGGACAGCUGUUACCCACCUUAAACUAGUGGGUUAGAAAGGAGAGGGCAAGGAUGGUGCC